GUGGCUUCUGGAGUCUUCUAGAUGUAAGAUAAUUGCGCAGCACGUUAAUAUCUUUACGUAAUCCCGACAUGUGGGCCUUUCUUCCGUAUUUCCUGAUAACCCCCUGCAGAAAUAGACAAACACCAAAACUCGUGGAAUUCUGUCAGAUAAAACCCUAAGUCUAGAUCUUGAUCUCAUUUGGAUCCUUUUCUUUAUUUAUUUGAUAAUUAAAUUUGAUACUUAAGGACCGUCAACAAACUCCCCCAAGCUUACCUCUUGCUCGUCCCUGAGCAAGGAUAGACUCAGCUAAAGAUCAUAAGUAGUUGCAAUAUCUUUAAAAAUUUGACAGUACACAUGCUUUUAAAUAAGAUCUCAUCUCUGAGUUAGAGUAAACUAUCAAGACUUAAAACUUACUUACUUUACCUUCACCAUGGGACUUGUAACUGUCACUUCUGUCUUGAGUGGUUAAAAGAUAGAACAGUCUAGCCAAGUGCCAUGUCUCUUAUUCUUGAUCAGCUAUAGCUCUGGGUUUUUUUGCAGAUUUUCAAAUAAAACUCAGAAAUUCAUUGUAUGAUUCUCUCAGGUCUCUCUUUUGUGGUAUUUUUGGAUCCUUACCAAGGCAGUGAUGGUAUAUGCCUUCUCUCAAGAUAUGUAGUAUUUGUGGUAUGAGGCAUAGUGACAUUGCCUUCUCUCUCACCCUACUCUAAUAAGGCUUUAAUAUCUGGAGCUCAUAGGUGGGAGAUAAAGUAUACAUACUUACAAGACAUUUAUUGCAUAGUCAAACCAUGGAUCCAAAGAAACAAAUCAAUAAGCCAAAUCAAGAUGAGCAUGUGUGGCGAAUAAAUGGUGUAUGGUGAUGAUGGUGAUAACAAUGGUGAAAACAAUUGUGGUGGAAGUCUAAUUCUACUUUGGUGUUUGAGGGGAUACAUACCUUCCUUGCUUUUGAAACUUUAUGAUGAGAAUGAGAUGCUCUAUCUUUUUUUAUUUUCUCUCAGGUGGGUAUCUUGCACCCCUAAUUCUACUGUCGGACACUUGUCCAUUUUUACCUCUCGUCUCACUUUUUCUUUUCUUUCGAGUUUCCGAGCACUUGCUCCUUUUUAUUUCCUCGUAUCUCUUUUUUUUUCAUUCUCUUUUUUUUCAGAGCAUUCAUCUCUUGAGAUAAUAUAGCAAGUGGUAGUAACAAGAUAACUUGAGCAUUUAUUUCACAAGGGAAAAACAGAAAUAUUUUUGGUUAUUCUCUCCCGACUUAGGAGUAGAAUAUUUUUGGGUGAUUCUGGAGAUGGAAUGGUGGAUAUAUGUGGAUGGUACUUCCGGAGUAGAAGUAGUAUAUAUGAGUGAACGUGCAAGUGAAAUCUUGAUUUAACCACAUGACAAGCUCCUAAAGGUCUACACAGCUUGACCACACUCAAUGCUCAUAAGCAGUAGAUAGUAAAUGUGUGGCUCAAAGUCUAGCAAGCAUGUAUAUAUGGCUGUGGUAGGAAUUUAAACUCUCAUGAUACAGGAACUCAUCAUGCAACAUUUUAAAGAUUUUCAAAGAUAAAAUUCUCCAGAAUUCUAGCAUCUAUAGGAACAGAUAAACAGCAGCUCAACCUUCCCAUAUCAUAUCCGUUAACAACUUAGACUUCAGAUCAAGUUUUCAUCCCACAAGUUUAGGUCUAGAGUAAGCUUUAAAUUAUAACAGUUAUAUCUAAACUUGAGAGAGAACUUAAAAUUUGCAAAUUAGGCAGAGCAACUAUCUAUCAUAUCCAUGCUUAAGUUUUAUUUAGAUACAGAUUAGCAUAGCCAAUUUAUUUAUUUAUUAAACACACUAAGCAAAAGACAUAUAUAUAUAAGCAUAAAAUCUUUAUUUGGUUUUCCAUAGUUUAUGUGUAUUUAUAUUUUAAAAUAAUAUAAGUAUAAAGAUAGAUAGAAAUACUUAUCGAGAUAAAUGGGGGUGCUCUCCCCCAAGCUGAAUUUUGACGUAAUUUCUCUUGAUGUAGCUAGCAGGUGGCAGAGGUGUAUUUGAAAGUCAGCAGCAUUCUGACAGCGAUUAGAAUGUCCUCCGUCUGCUAGUCUUCUUGAUUCUUAAAUUCUGUGGAGCUCAAAUAGACAACAUAGCUUGUGGAUCUGAUUAAGUGUUAGCAUAAAUAUCUAGCCUUUAUUAUCUUGAGACUCCUUAAUAAAUAUUACUCCCUGUUUUUAUAUUUUUGUUUUUAUAGAGCAGAAAAAUAAUUAUUUUAUUUUUAUGCCACCAUAGUGAAUGUACUUAUGGGUUUUAUGCCAUUUGUCUACUCACAUGGGGCUUACUGUUUUUCACAUUUUUAUUUUCUUUUUAAGAUAGUAUGAACUUAAUUAACUAAGUAACUAUUUGAAAUAAUUGAAAGGGAAAGGAUAACUACCAAGUUUACCUCUUGGCAAGGCGUUCGGUGUUUUUAAGUCCUCCGAACGGGACUCUCCACUUUCUUAAUCGUCCUGAGGUUCGUUGGAUGGCGUAGUCGGUACUUCCGGCAGCGCCUCUGUUGAUAUUUGGUAACGCAAUAAGAAAACGAUCCACAAGCGCACGGAUAUCGGUGAGCAUUUCACCCGGGAGGUUAUCCAGAGUUAUCGUAUUUAUAUUUUUACCACUGGGAGAAAGGGUGUAUCUGGCUAACCAAAUCUAUUGCUACUAUCCCUUUAGGCUACAAAGAAUGUCUCUCGAUGUGAGUGAGAGAAGACGGCAACCAUAGUCUCCUUCUAACCUUGGUAAGGAUGAUCUACUGUUCUAAUGGGGAGGCUAACGGAAUCUAGACAACACAAAGGAUGUUCGACCCGCACCUAUAAACCCUAUCCUUCCUGCUAACGAGAUGUGAUCUGCAAAGGUAACUCGGAAUUGUCACGUUCCUCAUUACUACCACGGUCCAGCUAGUCAGGGAAUAUCUAUGAGUACCCCAGCCUAAACACCACGUUUACGCCAGCAAUGAUUACUCUAAACUCUACGCGAAGAGAUUAAAGUAAACUCAUAAACCAUAAGAACAAUAAAACAAGAACUUACUAGAAUUUAGAAGUCGAAAUACUGAAGAAUCCUAGGAGCAAGCUUCGGGUUAGUAGAACUUGAUCCCACAGGUACAAGCUUGGAGUAGACCCCGACAGGCCGGGCUUCCUCCAAUCUACACCUCCACUCUAUCUCUCUCAAUCUAGUAGAAACUAGAAGAUCUAUUUCUACCUUACAUUGGUUGCUAAGCCUAAAAAGAAAUAUUAAUUAGAGAAGAGGUUUUCCUUCGAGGGCACCCCUCAGUCUCUAUGAUAAUUUCUUCAUGUCUUCUCCAGGGGCCAGGGGCCUUGCUUAUACAGUCCUCCUCCUCUGUGCGUUUUUGGUUCAGCAGGCGAUGUGGUACUAAACUUUGCACCCUAUCUCAUUAAAAUGCACAUAGGCCUUAACUGACCAAAAUCUGAUUUGGGCCCAAUUAAUCCGCAGCUCUUUUAUGUGGAGUCCUUCUUUUAUUAAUAUCUCUUGAUUCCGAACUCCAAAUAUAACAAAUAAUAUAUGCAUUUCGAUCAGCUCGACGAGAUCUUUGCAAUGGUGGACUCCAUUCUGUGAUUGGUGGAAACACCUGGGCGGGCGCCCUGCCCCCGCGCCCGUUUGCCUUCUCGUUCGUUCCCGUGGCUUCUGGAGUCUUCUAGAUGAUAGAAAAUUGCACGGUGCGUUGAUAUCUCUAUGUAAUCCCGACAUGUGGGCCUUUCUUCCGUAUUUCCUGAUAACCCCCUGCAGAAAUAGACAAACACCAAAACUCGUGGAAUUCUGUCAGAUAAAACCCUAAGUCUAGAUGUUGAUUUCAUUUGGAUCCUUUUCUUUGUUUAUUUGAUAAUUAAAUUUGAUACUUAAGGACCGUCAACAAACUCCCCCAAGCUUACCUCUUGCUCGUCCCUAAGCAAGGAUAGACUCAGCAUUGGAUUAGAAGUUGUUGCAAUAUCUUUAAAAAUUGACGGUACACAUGCUUUUUAAAUAAGAUCUCAUGAGUUAGAGUAAACUGUCAAGACUUAAAACUUACUUUACCUUCACCAUGGGACUUGUAACCGUCACUUCUGUCUUGAGAGGUUAAAAGAUAGAACAGUCUAGCCAAGUGCCAUGUCUCUUAUUCUUGAUCAGCUAUAGCUCUGGGUUUUUUUUUUGCAGAUUUUCAAAUAAAACUCAGAGAUUCCUUGUAUGACUCUCUAAAUCUCUCUUUUGUGGUAUUUCUGGAUCCUUACCAAGGCAUUGAUGGUAUAUGCCUUCUCUCAAGAUAUGUGGUAUUUGUGGUAUAAGGCAUAGUGAUAUUGCCUUCUCUCUCACCCUACUCUAAUAAGGCUUGAUAUCUGGAGCUCAUAGGUGGGAGACAGCUAAUACAUACUUACAAGAUAUUUAUUGCAUAGUCAAACCAUGGAGCCAGAGAAACAAGUCAAUAUGUCAAAUCAAGAUGUGCAUGUGUGGCGAAUGAAUGGUGUAUGGUGAUGAUGGUGAUAACAAUGGUGAAAGUCUAAUUCUACUUUUGCUCUUUUGAGGGUAUACAUACCUUUCUUGCACUUUGAAGCUUUUUGGGGAGAAUGAGAUGCUCUAUAUUUUCUUUUUGUUUCCUCUCAGGUGGGUAUCUUGUACCCCUAAUUCUACUGUCGGACACUUGUCCAUUUUUACCUCUCGUCUCACUUUUUUCUUUUCUUUCGAGGUUCCGGGCACUUGCUCCUUUUUAUUUCCUCGUUUAUAUAUAUUUUUUUUUUCUUUUCUUUUUUUUUUCAGAGCACUCAUCUCUUGAGAUAAUAUAGCAAGUGGUAGUAACCAAAAUAUUUGGAGCAUUUAUUUCAUAGGGAAUAACAGGGAUAGGAAAAUGUUUUUGACUAUUCUCUCCCGGAUUAGGAGUAGAAUAUUUUUGGGUGAUUCUGGAGAUGGAAAUGGAUGGAUAUAUGUGGAUGGUACUUCCGGAGUAGAAGUAGCAUAUAUGAGUGAACGUGCAAGUGAAUCUUGAUUUAACCACAUGACAAGCUCCUAAGGGUCUACACAGCUUGACCACACUCAUUGUUCAUAAGCAGUAAAAAGUAAAUAUGUGGCUCAAAGUCUAGCAAGCAUGUAUAUAUGGCUGUGGUAGGAAUUUGAACUCUCAUCAUAUAGGAACUCAUCAUGCAAUAUUUUAAAGAUUUUUCAAAAUAAAAUUUUCCAGAAUUCUAGCAUCUCUAGGAACAGAUAAACAGCAGCUCAACCUUCCCAUAUCAUAUCCGUUAACAACUUAGAUUUCAGAUCAAGUUUUCAUCCCACAAGUUUAGAUCUAGAGCAAGCUUUAAAUUAUAACAGUUGUGUCUAAACUUGAGAGAGAACUUCAAAAUUGCAAAUUAGGCAGAGCAACUAUUCAUCAUAUCCAUGCUAGAGUUUUAUUAUUAAGAUUCAGAUUAGCAUAGCCACUUUAUUUAUUUAUUAAACAUACUAAGCAAAAGAUAUAUAUAAGCACAAAAUAUUUAUUUGGUUUUUCACAGUUUAUGUAUUUUAAUAUUCUAACAUAAUAUAAGUAUAAAGAUAGGUAGAAAUACUUAGCGAGAUAAAUGGGGGUGCUCUCCCCCAAGCUGAAUUUUGACAUAAUUUUUCUUGAUGUAGCUAGCAGGUGGCAGAGGUGUAUUUGAAAGUCAGCAGCAUUCUGACAGCGAUUAGAAUGUCCUCCGUCUGCUAGUCUUCUUGAUUCUUAAAUUCUGUGGAGCUCAAAUAGACAACAAAGCUUGUGGAACUAAUUAAGUGUUAGCAUAAAUAUCUAGCCUUCAUCAUGUUGAGCUUCCUUAAUAAAUGUUACUUAUUUAGCAGGAUCAUGCACUUAUUAUUUUUAUAUUUUUAUUGUAAGAUGAAAACUUAUUUAUUUUAUUUUUAUGCCACCAUAGUGAAUGUACUUAUGGGUUUUAUGCGAUGAGCAUAAUCACAUGGGGCUUACUAUUUUUUUAACAUUUUUAUUUUCUUUUCAAGAUAGCAUGAACCUGAUUAACUAAGCAAACUAUAAUUGAAUAAUUGAAAGGAAAAGGAUAACUACCAAGUUUACCUCUUGGCAAGGCGUUCGGUGUUUUUAAGUCCUCCGAACGGGACUCUCCGUUUUCUCAGUCGUCCUGGGAUUCGCUAGGUGGCGUAGUCGGUGAUUCCGGCGGCGCCUCCUCUUUGUUAUAACUAUCUUCUCUCUCCACACCUGACUCGGCGCUAACGGUCUCCUCAGGACAGUUCUGUUCAAGCUAUAUGUGUUCAGACCUUAUCACUUCUCCUUCGUAGUCUACCCAUCCGUCCUUGAUGAUUUGCCUCCUCUGGUUACGGUUGCGUUGUCUUCUUCUUGUCCUGACCUGCUUAAAAUCUUCAACUAUAUAGUUAGAAUCAUUAAAGUAGUGGCGCACCUUCUCAGAGGGGAAGUGCAUGUGGACAUCUCUGGUUCCAAUGUAGAUGAUUGCUUUGAUAGUGUUGAGGAACGGUCUUCUAAGGAUGGUGGGUGCAUCAUACUCGUCUUCUCCCAUGUUAAUGACCUAAAAAUUACGUGGAGCCGAAUGUAUGUUGGUUGUAGGAGCAUGGUUCCAUGCAGGAGCUGAUAAGUGACUGCGGCCAUUAUGUUGUCGUCAGAUCCGGUGUCGUAGAGUGUCUUCUAAAAAGAGUAUCCAUUGAUUGUGCACUCAAUGCUUGGAACACCAGGGUCAUCCUUCUUGAUCAAGAAAGGUGACUUGAGUCGACGAUCUUGACAUCCUUGAGCUGCAGUGACCAUCUCAGCUGACUCGGUCCACAUUUUCUUGUUCUUGUUCCUCCUAUUGGUCCUCUUCCUUGGUUCAUGUCGGGAUUGCUCUGAAGCUUGUGUAGUCUUGUUCUUGAAGGAAAGUCUCCUUCUUCCCCUUGAUGUAGAGACUGAUCUUGGCAGCAUUAGCGUAGAUGACUGCUCUGGUGUUUAGGAAUGGCCUCCCUAAGAUGAUGGGUGCCCUCUCCUCACUACCAGUCUCUAUCACCACGAAGUUUGCUGGAGCGUACAAGGUACCAACUCGGACAUAGAGUUUCUUCAAUAUUUCCUUUGGGAAACUAAGUGUCUGAUCUCCAUUGUGUUUGUGCUCGUAGAUCCCGGUUCUUCACUUGAUGGAAUCUGGGAGUUGUAAAACUCCUCCAUGUUUUGUUUGAAGUGUACCUAUUCAUAGAGACAAGGCAGAGAUCAAGUGCAUGGGCCCUGUUGGUGGAAAACACCAACAGAACCAAAAGUGUAUUUUUUCUUCUCUAACCUUAAGCAUAGUGAGCAAGACAAAGUUGAUGGAUAAUAAGAUCAUGAGUGUAGUAUUUGAAAAUUUUGUCAGAUCAGAUGGCUCAACCUAAUGGAAAGAUAAUCUAUCUAUAUUUAUGUUUUGUUUAUAUCUUCCAAAUAUUGAAUGUGCAACAUAUUAGCUUAUAUGUUUAGGAGCGUGGGAUCACGAAGGUAGCACUAAGAACAAAGAUUAAAGGACUAAACAUGUUGAAUUAAUUGAGUUGGUUAAUCUGGAGUUAUAAAUCAUACAUGUUUGUCUCUUUAUUUAUGUGAAUGCUAGAACCAAGGAGAAACUUAUAAAAGCGAUAGUCAAGUACCUUAAGGUGUUACCUUACUUGAAGAGUGACGGUACAGUAUCACCUUGUGGAAGCUUUCCUUUCUUAGCGGUUGUGCAUCGUGUUUGUGGCACCCACCAUGAAUCAUCUCUUAUGAGCCACGUCUUUCUUGUGCAAAUUGUUAAACUUCAUGUGUCACUUUCUUCAUCUCCAAUGCGAGUUUAUCUCAGGACUUCCCAGGUUGAUAUUGAAAGUUUUCCUGCAGGGGUUAGUCCAACAAAAUAUCCCCUAUCUACUAUAGCAU
Molecule: long non-coding RNA, 7781 nt
Filed under: Sorghum bicolor (sorghum)
Lineage: Eukaryota; Viridiplantae; Streptophyta; Magnoliopsida; Poales; Poaceae
Description: long non-coding RNA (SBIC_LNC000874)
Source: RNAcentral